CACGGGGGUGGCAAGCGUUGUCCGGAAUUACUAGGCGUAAAGUGCAAUAAGGCGGAGAUGUAAGUCAGAUGUAAAAGGCACCGGCUCAACCGGUGUGACGCAUUUGAUACUGUAUUUCUGGAGUAAGGUGGAGGGAGACGGAAUUCCUGGUGUAGCGGUGGAAUGCGUAGAUAUCAGGAAGAACACCAAAGGCGCAGGCAGUUUUCCAUACCAUUACUGACGCUGAUUUGCGAAGGUGUGGGUAUCGAACAGG
This 253-nucleotide ribosomal RNA is filed under the name uncultured bacterium. Its description in RNAcentral is "partial 16S ribosomal RNA". It matches the Rfam family "Bacterial small subunit ribosomal RNA", at positions 524 to 776 of the family's 1533-position model. The record is from RNAcentral.